Non-coding RNA from Camelina sativa (false flax), 789 nucleotides. The record is from RefSeq and is a predicted model, not a curated record. NCBI's taxonomy places the organism in Eukaryota, Viridiplantae, Streptophyta, Magnoliopsida, Brassicales, Brassicaceae.
AACCAAAGUACGGCAGCAUAUAAAUCGAUCUUCUCAGUGUAUAUUGUUUCCUUCCUCCGGCAGCGUUCGAUGUCUGGUUCUCGCAGUCCGGCGUUCUAAACCCUAAAAAGUUGUCCAGAUUCGUCACCACCAGUUACUCGAAUCUGGAAGGCUGGAUCCAAGAAAGUGGUAGCACACGAUACUGUCUGGUGGUGAUAGUGACGAUAUCAGUGAGGGAUGUGUGACUAAGAGUGUAUCAUGUAUUCUGAAUUGGUUUUGCUGAAAUCUUUGCAUCUGACAUUUCUUGCUGAAUUUGUCUGCUUCUGUUUGGUGCGAGGCUCAGUUGAUCGUAUUCCAUCUCUUUGACAUACAUCAGGAGUUUCUCGUAAGGCAAGGAUCCUCGAUUUGCAUAUCUCGCAGAUGGCACGAUCUAUCAUCUAUGCACAAGCUUUGAAUGAUGGCAAAAGAAACUGUGUUUGUAAUCCGUGUGGUGGUGGAUUCUAUUAGGUGUUCAUUAUCUUCAGGGAGGAGGAGCCAAUCAGGUUGUAUUUGGUAUGCAUGCAUAUAUUGUAUGUACUAGCUCAGACAAUCGCUGAAAUAUAGUCACCGUAUGACAGAGUUGUUCUUGCUCGUGACACAUGCACUUCUGCCACUUCAGUUCCCUGAAACUGAGGAGCCAAUUGAGUAAUCUGUCAAACCUGUAUUUAUAAUGAACUUUGCAACGACUAUCGAACCACUUUGAGAAAAUUGGAAGAGUUGUUGUCAACUACUCAACUGCGUACACAUAUAUUACCAUGAGUUUCUUUCGUA